Long non-coding RNA from Phyllopteryx taeniolatus (common seadragon), 430 nucleotides. RefSeq lists it as uncharacterized. NCBI's taxonomy places the organism in Eukaryota, Metazoa, Chordata, Actinopteri, Syngnathiformes, Syngnathidae. The record is from RefSeq and is a predicted model, not a curated record. The transcript is spliced from 4 exons.
AGAGUCUUCAAUUAACCUACUGUGCAUGUUUUUUCGGAUGUGGGAGGAAACCUGGUGUACCCGGAGAAAACCCACGCAGGCAUGGGGAGAACAUGCAAACUCCACACAGGAACUGGGGGACAUCCUGGAUAGACACCUGCAGGCUGAAGGUGUUCGCUCGAAAAGGCAACAUCUUUGGCUCCUCGAGAAGCUGACCCCCUCUACUCUUCUCUGCUGCCACCACUCCCUAGGUGACAAAAGCAUCACAUUUACAAGAAUCAACAUAGCAGAAUGAAGCUUGGAGUUGACACUGUUGAAAGGGCAUGAAAACAGACUGCAGACAAAUGUUGGUUGAAACAAGAAAAGAGACAGCGAGCAACCUGGAACAUAUAUUGUCUCAUCUGCCAUAUAUCUCGAUAUGAGAAUUAGUCAUUGCUCAUUUUCUCUGUUU